AUACGAAGGGGGCUAGCGUUGUUCGGAAUUACUGGGCGUAAAGCGCGCGUAGGCGGAUACUUAAGUCAGGGGUGAAAUCCCGAGGCUCAACCUCGGAACUGCCCUUGAUACUGGGUAUCUUGAGUUCGAGAGAGGUAAGUGGAAUUCCGAGUGUAGAGGUGAAAUUCGUAGAUAUUCGGAGGAACACCAGAGGCGAAGGCGGCUUACUGGCUCGAUACUGACGCUGAGGCGCGAAAGCGUGGGGAGCAAACAGGAUUAGAUACCCCAGUAGUCC
This 274-nucleotide ribosomal RNA is filed under the name uncultured bacterium. RNAcentral describes it as "partial 16S ribosomal RNA". It matches the Rfam family "Bacterial small subunit ribosomal RNA", at positions 523 to 796 of the family's 1533-position model. The record is from RNAcentral.